Molecule: ribosomal RNA, 371 nt
Filed under: uncultured organism
Description: partial 16S ribosomal RNA
Rfam family: Bacterial small subunit ribosomal RNA
Source: RNAcentral
GUAGGUGGCAAGCGUUGUCCGGAAUUAUUGGGCGUAAAGCGCGCGCAGGCGGUUCUUUAAGUCUGAUGUGAAAGCCCACGGGCUCAACCGUGGAGGGUCAUUGGAAACUGGAGAACUUGAGUACAGAAGAGGAAAGCGGAAUUCCACGUGUAGCGGUGAAAUGCGUAGAGAUGUGGAGGAACACCAGUGGCGAAGGCGGCUUUCUGGUCUGUAACUGACGCUGAGGCGCGAAAGCGUGGGAGCAAACAGGAUUAGAUACCCUGGUAGUCCACGCCGUAAACGAUGAGUGCUAAGUGUUAGGGGGUUUCCGCCCCUUAGUGCUGCAGCUAACGCAUUAAGCACUCCGCCUGGGGAGUACGGCCGCAAGGCUG